This 865-nucleotide ribosomal RNA is filed under the name Clonostachys sp. RNAcentral describes it as "partial large subunit ribosomal RNA". It matches the Rfam family "Eukaryotic large subunit ribosomal RNA", at positions 56 to 955 of the family's 3401-position model. The record is from RNAcentral. Lineage: Eukaryota; Fungi; Ascomycota; Sordariomycetes; Hypocreales; Bionectriaceae.
AAAAAGAAACCCAACAGGGAUUGCCCUAGUAACGGCGAGUGAAGCGGCAACAGCUCAAAUUUGAAAUCUGGCGCAAGCCCGAGUUGUAAUUUGUAGAGGAUGUUUCUGGCGACGUGCCUUCCGAGUUCCCUGGAACGGGACGCCAUAGAGGGUGAGAGCCCCGUACGGUUGGAUGCCUAGCCUCUGUGAAACUCCUUCGACGAGUCGAGUAGUUUGGGAAUGCUGCUCUAAAUGGGAGGUAUACGUCUUCUAAAGCUAAAUACCGGCCAGAGACCGAUAGCGCACAAGUAGAGUGAUCGAAAGAUGAAAAGCACUUUGAAAAGAGGGUUAAAAAGUACGUGAAAUUGUUGAAAGGGAAGCGUUCAUGACCAGACUUGGGCAGGUUGAUCAUCCGUGGUUCUCCGCGGUGCACUCUGCCUGCCCAGGCCAGCAUCAGUUCGCCCCGGGGGAUAAAGGUUUCGGGAAUGUGGCUCCUCCGGGAGUGUUAUAGCCCGUUGCGUAAUACCCUGGGACGGACUGAGGUUCGCGCUCUGCAAGGAUGCUGGCGUAAUGGUCAUCAACGACCCGUCUUGAAACACGGACCAAGGAGUCGUCUUCGUAUGCGAGUGUUCGGGUGUCAAACCCCUACGCGUAAUGAAAGUGAACGUAGGAGAGAGCUUCGGCGCAUCUCCGACCGAUCCUGAUGUUCUCGGAUGGAUUUGAGUAAGAGCAUACGGGGCCGGACCCGAAAGAAGGUGAACUAUGCCUGUAUAGGGUGAAGCCAGAGGAAACUCUGGUGGAGGCUCGCAGCGGUUCUGACGUGCAAAUCGAUCGUCAAAUAUGGGCAUGGGGGGCGAAAGACUAAUCGAACCUUCUAGUAGCUGGU